RNAcentral lists this ribosomal RNA (852 nucleotides) under Pediococcus acidilactici. RNAcentral describes it as "bacterial SSU rRNA". It matches the Rfam family "Bacterial small subunit ribosomal RNA", at positions 59 to 865 of the family's 1533-position model. The record is from RNAcentral. Lineage: Bacteria; Bacillati; Bacillota; Bacilli; Lactobacillales; Lactobacillaceae.
CAGUCGAACGAACUUCCGUUAAUUGAUUAUGACGUGCUUGCACUGAAUGAGAUUUUAACACGAAGUGAGUGGCGGACGGGUGAGUAACACGUGGGUAACCUGCCCAGAAGCAGGGGAUAACACCUGGAAACAGAUGCUAAUACCGUAUAACAGAGAAAACCGCCUGGUUUUCUUUUAAAAGAUGGCUCUGCUAUCACUUCUGGAUGGACCCGCGGCGCAUUAGCUAGUUGGUGAGGUAACGGCUCACCAAGGCGAUGAUGCGUAGCCGACCUGAGAGGGUAAUCGGCCACAUUGGGACUGAGACACGGCCCAGACUCCUACGGGAGGCAGCAGUAGGGAAUCUUCCACAAUGGACGCAAGUCUGAUGGAGCAACGCCGCGUGAGUGAAGAAGGGUUUCGGCUCGUAAAGCUCUGUUGUUAAAGAAGAACGUGGGUGAGAGUAACUGUUCACCCAGUGACGGUAUUUAACCAGAAAGCCACGGCUAACUACGUGCCAGCAGCCGCGGUAAUACGUAGGUGGCAAGCGUUAUCCGGAUUUAUUGGGCGUAAAGCGAGCGCAGGCGGUCUUUUAAGUCUAAUGUGAAAGCCUUCGGCUCAACCGAAGAAGUGCAUUGGAAACUGGGAGACUUGAGUGCAGAAGAGGACAGUGGAACUCCAUGUGUAGCGGUGAAAUGCGUAGAUAUAUGGAAGAACACCAGUGGCGAAGGCGGCUGUCUGGUCUGUAACUGACGCUGAGGCUCGAAAGCAUGGGUAGCGAACAGGAUUAGAUACCCUGGUAGUCCAUGCCGUAAACGAUGAUUACUAAGUGUUGGAGGGUUUCCGCCCUUCAGUGCUGCAGCUAACGCAUUAAGU